CCUACGGGCGACAGCAGUGAGGAAUAUUGGUCAAUGGGCGCGAGCCUGAACCAGCCAAGUAGCGUGAAGGAUGACUGCCCUACGGGCUGUAAACUUCUUUUAUAAAGGAAUAAAGUGAGGCACGUGUGCCUUUUUGUAUUUACUUUAUGAAUAAGGAUCGGCUAACUCCGUGCCAGCAGCCGCGGUAAUACGGAGGAUCCGAGCGUUAUCCGGAUUUAUUGGGUUUAAAGGGAGCGUAGAUGGGUUGUUAAGUCAGUUGUGAAAGUUUGCGGCUCAACCGUAAAAUUGCAAUUGAUACUGGCAGUCUUGAGUACAGUUGAGGUAGGCGGAAUUCGAGGUGUAGCGGUGAAAUGCUUAGAUAUCACGAAGAACUCCGAUUGCGAAGGCAGCUUACUAAACGGCCACUGACAUUGAUGCGCGAAAGUGUGGGUAUCAAACAGGAUUAGAUACCCCUGUAGUC
RNAcentral lists this ribosomal RNA (460 nucleotides) under uncultured bacterium. RNAcentral's name for it is "partial 16S ribosomal RNA". It matches the Rfam family "Bacterial small subunit ribosomal RNA", at positions 338 to 795 of the family's 1533-position model. The record is from RNAcentral.